GACGAACGCUGGCGGCGUGCUUAACACAUGCAAGUCGAACGAUGAUGCCCAGCUUGCUGAGUGGAUUAGUGGCGAACGGGUGAGUAACACAUGAGUAACCUGCCCCUGACUCUGGGAUAAGCGUUGGAAACGACGUCUAAUACUGGAUAUGACUGCCGGCCGCAUGGUCUGGUGGUGGAAAGAUUUUUUGGUUGGGGAUGGACUCGCGGCCUAUCAGCUUGUUGGUGAGGUAAUGGCUCACCAAGGCGACGACGGGUAGCCGGCCUGAGAGGGUGACCGGCCAAACUGGGACUGGGACACGGCCCAGACUCCUCCGGGAGGCAGCAGUGGGGAAUAUUGCACAAUGGGCGAAAGCCUGAUGCAGCAACGCCGCGUGAGGGAUGACGGCCUUCGGGUUGUAAACCUCUUUUAGUAGGGAAGAAGCGAAAGUGACGGUACCUGCAGAAAAAGCACCGGCUAACUACGUGCCAGCAGCCGCCGUAA
RNAcentral lists this ribosomal RNA (483 nucleotides) under uncultured bacterium. RNAcentral describes it as "partial 16S ribosomal RNA". It matches the Rfam family "Bacterial small subunit ribosomal RNA", at positions 28 to 523 of the family's 1533-position model. The record is from RNAcentral.